UGUUCCGGGUUUAAAGACCUGGAAACCAAAGCCGGGGACCGCAAGGCCUGGCGCUUGAAGAGGAGCCCGCGUCCGAUUAGCUAGUUGGCGGGGUAAUGGCCCACCAAGGCGACGAUCGGUAGCCGGCCUGAGAGGGCGGACGGCCACACUGGAACUGAGACACGGUCCAGACUCCUACGGGAGGCAGCAGUGGGGAAUUGUUCACAAUGGGCGCAAGCCUGAUGACGCAACGCCGCGUGGGGGAUGAAGGUCUUCGGAUUGUAAACCCUUGUCGAACGGGAAGAACGACUCGCGCACUAACACUGCGCGGGACUGACGGUACCGUUAAAGGAAGCCACGGCUAACUCUGUGCCAGCAGCCGCGGUAAUACAGAGGUGGCAAGCGUUGUUCGGAAUUACUGGGCGUAAAGGGCGCGUAGGCGGCCAUCUAAGUCAGACGUGAGAUCCCCCGGCUUAACCUGGGAACUGCGUCUGAUACUGGACGGCUCGAGUUUGGGAGAGGGAUGUGGAAUUCCAGGUGUAGCGGUGAAAUGCGUAGAUAUCUGGAGGAACACCGGUGGCGAAAGCGGCAUCCUGGACCAACACUGACGCUGAGGCGCG
This 599-nucleotide ribosomal RNA is filed under the name uncultured bacterium. RNAcentral describes it as "bacterial SSU rRNA". It matches the Rfam family "Bacterial small subunit ribosomal RNA", at positions 173 to 755 of the family's 1533-position model. The record is from RNAcentral.